Rhinichthys klamathensis goyatoka is the source of this 396-nucleotide long non-coding RNA. RefSeq lists it as uncharacterized. The record is from RefSeq and is a predicted model, not a curated record. NCBI's taxonomy places the organism in Eukaryota, Metazoa, Chordata, Actinopteri, Cypriniformes, Leuciscidae. The transcript has 2 exons.
UACAGGAUUAACAUCUCUGAUCAUGUGUCCUCAGUUCCAGGAUCAGCCGUCAUUGACAAACUCAAGUCACAACAGACACAACACAGGGCGAAUUCCCUUCAAAGAGACGAGCAUCACUCUGCUCCACUCAUUACGCAUUACUGUCUCAUAGUGGCUGUCUGGAUCACCCGACAUGAAGCCAGACGUCACUGACACUUUAUUCUGAAUUGAAAUGUUAUUUAAAAACAGAAUUCAAACUGAAAAAUACAGAUGUUAACUUUGUUAAGACACAUGUAGCACUGUAGAGCAAACAGGAGAGAUGGUGCUGGAUACGCCACAGUCAUUGGAUUGAUUUGCAAGGAAUACAAGAACUGCCAAAUGUGUAAAUGUAAAUAAAUGUUGUUGUAUUUGUUUUUA